Sus scrofa (pig) is the source of this 5348-nucleotide long non-coding RNA. RefSeq lists it as uncharacterized. NCBI's taxonomy places the organism in Eukaryota, Metazoa, Chordata, Mammalia, Artiodactyla, Suidae. The record is from RefSeq and is a predicted model, not a curated record.
CGACAGAGGGGCCAGCGGACCCCAGCCCCUCACAACCGAUCGCAGAGCUGCGCGGCUCUAAGGCGCAUGGAAUGCCCGGGGGAUGAAUAGACUGUGGUGUCACCUCCGCCUCGCGCAUUUGGCCCAUCCGGCCCGCUCGGUACACUGGCUGGUGAGGCCUUCAUUUCCCCCUAAGGAUCCGAGAAGUUUAAACAGAGGCCAAUUUUCCUCUCCCUUGGUCCUCAAGGUCCUGCCAGAUCACGGUGAGAUGGGCACAGCAGGUACGGUUGGCAACCACAGCCGUGAGUGAACGAGUUUCUCAUCGUCGUCCCCGCCCCCCGCAGUGUGACCCAAAAAGCAACGUCCCCUCUCUCCUCAGGGAGAGAGGCACCCGCCCAUCCGGCCGAAGUGGAGCAGAAGGAUCCUCUUUUCCUUGUCCGCGGUCGACUGAGUCUUUCCUGCACCCGGAGGCCCGUAAGGCUUUGGCCCACUCGCGGCCUGGGCCCGCCGGGAAGAAGCGGACUGGGGAUGGCAACUGAGCGGAGGGCUGCUCUAGGCACCUGCCGGCCGCUUUGGAGGCCUGUCCUCAGAGUCACUUUCGGGCUUCUCACGGGAUCCUGGAGCUUUCCACAGGUCUUCGGUUUGUCUUUUCGAGAAAGCCAGCGCCGCGAUGUCUAAACCGGCUGCCGGCCGGUGCGCACCGCCCCCGCCCCCAAACGGGUGUCCCUUCCGCGUGAGGGCCCCGGGCAGCUUUCCAGGCGGGAACCCCAGUAUCUCACAACCUGGGAAAGACCGGCCUCCUUUUUCGGAGCUCUCGCGACUCCCAGCAACAUCGGUAGCUAACGGUUCCAGAGCCUCCGGCUCGGGGCGGACUUCGCGGCCGAGUAAAAGGCGCUUUGAGUAGGGCUCCGCCGGCGCCGGGGGCUGGAACCGCGGGAGAUGAGGGCUGGCGGGUGAGUGCCCGCGUGAGGACGACCGGGAUGGUGUUUUCCGCUGGCGGACAGGUGGGACAGUCCGGGUGGGACUGCGGUUAGGUCUUCAGGGAGCAGCUCAGAAUUAGAGAAACUGGUAACAUUACAGGAAUUACUUUAAAGCACACAACAGCAAAAAUGCAGUGAAUUAAUGAACAUCAGAUACCAGUUAACGCAACGGGAUUGGCGGCGUCUUGAAGCGCUGGGACGCAGGGCGCUCCUGGACAGUGGGUUAAGGAUCCGGUGUUGCCGAAGCUCCGGCUUAGGUCACAACUGCAGCUUGGGAUCCAUAUGCCGCGGCGGCGGCCGAAAAAAAUGAAAACAAAACAAAAACCCCAGUUAACUCAGCAAUUAAUUUAAGAAAAUGCUGAACAUGAUAUUAGCAAAAGAUCUAACAGUACUAUUGAUGGUGGCUAAUACUAACAUAGCUUACGAUGUGCCAGGCACUGUUCUAAACCUUACAUUUGGUCACUUAUAUAAUGAAACUUGAUGAAGUAGAUACCAUUUCACCACCGUUUUACAGAUGGGGGACCUGAGGCGAAGAGAAAAUAAGUGCAUUAGCCAAGAUCGUAUAACUAGUAAUUGGCAGAGCAAGGAUUUAUACCCAGACAUUCUGCUCUUAAACUCUGCUCUCUGUCUUUCAUUGAUAACUGGAUUUUAUCAGUUUAGGAAUUGUGCUAUCCAGAAGGAAGGGUAAGUCUGUACAGAGACAUGUUAUUAUAGCAGUGUUCUGAAUCUCAUCAGAUUUGUUGUCAAUCUCCUUUAGACAAAGGGACUUAAGGAAGAGUGCCUUCCACAAAGAGGUGUUUUGUUUUUUGGGUUUUUUCGCAUUUUAGGGCUGCACCCGCAGCAUAUGAAGGUUCCCAGGCUACAGGUUGAAUUGGAGCUGCAGCUGCCAGCUUACACCAUAGCCACAGCAACUUAGGAUCCAAGCCAAGUCUGCGAUCUACACCACAGCUCAAGGCAAUGCCAGAUCCUUAACUCACUGAACUAACUAACUCCAGGGAAGGAACGGGUAUCCUCAUGGAUACUUGUUGCGUUCAUUACCCCUGAGCCAGGAUGGGAACUCCCCACAGAAAGUUUUAAGGAGAAAAGAAUACAGAUUUUCAUUUAACAAGUUAAUUAGGCCCAUACACAAUUUCGAAGAUCCUUCUCCCAUUGCUUUUCUAUCUAGAUUCUUCUGUUCUUAUUUUGUUUUUAUUAGGUUAAAUCAUUUGAAAUCGAUGACAUUUGUGAGGUACGAAAAUGGCAAUUUCUUUUUUUUUUUUGCUUUUAUAGGACCACACUUGCAGCACAUGGAGGCCCCCAGGCCAGGGGUCAUAUAGGAGCCACAGCCACUGACCAACACCUCAGCAACCCCAGAUCCCUAACCCACUGAGUGAGGCCAAGGAUGGACCUGAAACCCCAUGGUCCCUAGUUGGAUUCAUCUCUGCUGUGCCACAACAGAAACUCCUGUUUAACCCAAUAUUUACACAUCUUUUUGUGUGAGAAUUUAGGAGUCUACAACAAUUUUUUAGCAAAUUGUUCUGGCUUUAUCUCCAAAAUACACCCUGAAUCUGUUUAUUUCUCUUCAUGUCCAUUUUGGACCUGUGGUUGGCGCCACCAUCUACUCUCAUUUGGAUUACUGUCAUAGCUUCUUGACCAGUCUCCUUGCUUCUGCUCUUUUCUCACUCUUGCUUUCCUAAGGGCCAGAAGGAUCUUUGAUAAAACAAAAAUCAGAAAGUUCCUGUUGUGGCUAAGAGGUAGUGACCCAACUAAUAUCCAUGAGGAUGCAGGUUCAAUCCCUGGCCUCUCUCAGUGGGUUAAGGAUCCUGUGUUGCUGUGGCUGUGGUGGAGGCUGGCAGCUGUAGCUCCUAGUCAGCCCCUAGCCAGGGGACUUCCAUAAGCCAAAGUGUGGCCCUAAAAAUCACAUACACACAAAGAAAAUCAUAUCAUGUCCUUCCUUUCAAUGGUGCCCCAUCAUGUUUAGAAAACAUAUCCUGGCCCUUGCUUACUUCUCUAGUCUAAUUUUAUAUCACAUUCCUCUUAAUCCAGUACUUUAGGCCCAAUGACCUUCUUUCAUUUCCUGUAAACACAUAAGAUUCACUCCUACUGUGAAGACUGCAUUAGCUAUUCUCUUUGACUGGCAAGGUCUUCUGCAGAACUUCCCAAGACUGGACAUUUAUAUUUCAGUUAGAAUGUCAUCCCUCCAGAAAAGCUUUUCCUGUUACUUGUACUAUUCAUUCAGUCACUCUAUUUCAUUUCACAUCAUUGUUUAUAUUCCAUAUACCACUACUACUAUUUGAUAUUUGUCUCCUUUUACUGUAAUAUAGGCUUAUAAAAGCAGGAAGCUUAUUUUUCUUGUUAUAUCCUGCUACAUCCAGUACCUAGAGUACGAGCUUGGCCUAUAGCAUGCACGAGUAAAUAUGUGUUGAAUUGAUGAAGAAGAAGAAAUAGGUAAAAAGUCCUUGGCACCACAGAACUUAGUCCCACAGAAUUGAGGUGGUUUGGAAUACAGUGAAUGGAACCUACCUAAAGAAUGAGGAAGAUCUUGAUCAGUACUUUCCAAUAAAUAGGAAUGUAAUGUGACCCACCUAUGUAAUUUUAUGUUUUCUAGUAGCCACAUUAAAAAUGUAAAAUGACAGGGGAAAUUAAUUUGAAUAUAUUUUAUUUAAAUCAGUAUAUCCAAAAUAUUAUUUUGAAAUCUAAUAUAAACUUAUUAAUAAAAUACUUUACAUUCCUUUUUUUUCACACUGAGCCAGUGUGUUUAUACUUAUUGCACAUCUUGAUUCAGUUAUUAAAUUUUCAUUGGAGGAGUUCCCGUUGUAGCUCAGCGGUAACACCUGACUAGUAUCCAUGAGGAUGCGGGUUCAAUCUCUGGCCUACUCAGUGGGUUAAGGAUCCAGUGUUGCAGACACAGCUUGGAUCUGGCACUGCUGUGGCUGUGGCAUAGGCUGGUGGCUACAGCUCCAAUUCAACACCUAGCCUAGGAACUUCAUAUGCUGCUGGUGUGGCCCUAAAAAGCAAAAAAAAUUUUUUUUCUCACUGGAAAUACUUGAUCUAUAUUGAGAUUACAUAAAAUUUAAAAUGGAAAAGCAGAGGCCUAUACCCAAGUUACUCCAGAUGUACUUAAGGUUUUUUGCAAUACUGAAUUGAGAAUCAGUUUUAAAUUUAAAUUAAAAAUGGAAAAAAAAUAGAUCUUCAGUUGCAUAGCCACAUGUACUUAGCGGCUAAUGUAUCAGACAGUGCAGAUCGAGAUCAAGGAUAAAGUGUCUAUUUGUGGUUGGGUCAAGGACAAAGUAGAGGGUAGCACCAGAAGUAUGGUAUGGAGGGAUGACAAAAGUCUAGAAAAGUACAGUGUAAGCUCUUUAUGCAAGUAGCAUUUGAGGACAAUUCCUCUGGUUCUCAAAAGUGAGGUAUGGCUUUGGAGUUCCCGUCGUGGCUCAGUGGUUAAUGAAUCCGACUAGGAACCAGGAGUUUGCGGGUUCAAUCCCUGACCUUGCUCAGCAGGUUAGGGAUCCGGCGUUGCCGUGAGCUGUGGUGUAGGUUGCAGCUGCGGCUCGGAUCCCACGUUGCUGUGACUCUGGCGUAGGCCAGUGGCUACAGCUCUGAUUAGACCCCUAGCCUGGGAACCUCCAUAUGCUGCGGGAGUGGUCCUAGAAAAGGCAAAAAGACAAACAAAAAAAACCCCAAAAAACAAGUGAGAUAUGGCUUCCUAAAGUAGACUACUUCCUUAGCAUGACUGCUGCAUAGAUUUUAGGUACUCUGGGAAUCGUUUUGUGAGGGAGUAAAAGGUCCUGCAGUGCUGGUCAUAUAUAACACUUCCAAGUAAAAUCUUGUAACAUAUGAUGUGGAACAGUCAUGGAAAUCAGAUUAUUUUCCUAGAGAGCAGUGGUUCUCAAGUGGGCUGGGGUCAGGGGUGGGGGGUUUGCCCCUCAGGAGCAUUUGUACUUCUUGAGAAAUUUUGCUUGUUACAAGUUGGCGAUGCUGGUGGCAUCUAGGGAGCAGAGGUCAGGAAUAUGGCAAAACAUCCCACAAUGCAGAGGACAGCCCCCAACAACAAGGAAUUGUCUGCCUGACAAUGUCAAUAAAACCACGGUUGAGAAACGUUGCUCUAGAGGAUUUGAGUAAGAAAGACAGAGAACUAUUCUCUUAGAACCUUGGUCUAACUGCCUUGUGAUAUUCCUAAGGGGAGAACAAGUUGUUUUGAAGCAUUUCAGUUUCUAGUGUGUUUUCACUGUUGAUGGACUCUGAUUAGACUAAGAAGAAAUAAUAUUCAGGAUGAGAUUGUGGACUCAAUAAAGAUAACAAAUAAUACUGCUAUGCAUGUGAGACUCAACAUGCUUCGGAUAAGCUGAUCUAUUUACCUAUGUAUGGCUUGUGGCACAUGACCUACGGUCUCAAAUAUAAUUGAUGUAC